RNAcentral lists this ribosomal RNA (472 nucleotides) under uncultured bacterium. RNAcentral's name for it is "bacterial SSU rRNA". It matches the Rfam family "Bacterial small subunit ribosomal RNA", at positions 329 to 793 of the family's 1533-position model. The record is from RNAcentral.
GCCCAGACUCCUACGGGAGGCAGCAGUGGGGAAUAUUGCACAAUGGGCGCAAGCCUGAUGCAGCCAUGCCGCGUGUAUGAAGAAGGCCUUCGGGUUGUAAAGUACUUUCAGCGGGGAGGAAGGCAAUACGGUUAAUAACCGUGUUGAUUGACGUUACCCGCAGAAGAAGCACCGGCUAACUCCGUGCCAGCAGCCGCGGUAAUACGGAGGGUGCAAGCGUUAAUCGGAAUUACUGGGCGUAAAGCGCACGCAGGCGGUCUGUCAAGUCGGAUGUGAAAUCCCCGGGCUCAACCUGGGAACUGCAUUCGAAACUGGCAGGCUGGAGUCUUGUAGGGGGGGGUAGAAUUCCAGGUGUAGCGGUGAAAUGCGUAGAGAUCUGGAGGAAUACCGGUGGCGAAGGCGGCCCCCUGGACAAAGACUGACGCUCAGGUGCGAAAGCGUUGGGAGCAAACAGGAUUAGAUACCCGGGUAC